AUAUAAAUAAGCUAAAUUUAAGCUUUUAGGUUCAUACCCUAAAUAUAGAAAAUAUCUUUUAUAUU
Molecule: transfer RNA, 65 nt
Filed under: Sphecodes ephippius
Lineage: Eukaryota; Metazoa; Arthropoda; Insecta; Hymenoptera; Halictidae
Description: tRNA-Met
Source: RNAcentral